GGUUAGAGUUUGAUCAUGGCUCAGAUUGAACGCUGGCGGCAGGCCUAACACAUGCAAGUCGGACGGUAGCACAGAGGAGCUUGCUCCUCGGGUGACGAGUGGCGGACGGGUGAGUAAUGUCUGGGGAUCUGCCCGAUAGAGGGGGAUAACCACUGGAAACGGUGGCUAAUACCGCAUACGUCGCAAGACCAAAGAGGGGGACCUUCGGGCCUCUCACUAUCAGAUGAACCCAGAUGGGAUUAGCUAGUAGGCGGGGUAACGGCCCACCUAGGCGACGAUCCCUAGCUGGUCUGAGAGAUGACCAGCCACACUGGAACUGAGACACGGUCCAGACUCCUACGGGAGGCAGCAGUGGGGAAUAUUGCACAAUGGGCGCAAGCCUGAUGCAGCCAUGCCGCGUGUAUGAAGAAGGCCUUCGGGUUGUAAAGUACUUUCAGCGGGGAGGAAGGCAGUGAGGUUAAUAACCUUACUGAUUGACGUUACCCGCAGAAGAAGCACCGGCUAACUCCGUGCCAGCAGCCGCGGUAAUACGGAGGGUGCAAGCGUUAAUCGGAAUUACUGGGCGUAA
Molecule: ribosomal RNA, 568 nt
Filed under: uncultured Pantoea sp.
Lineage: Bacteria; Pseudomonadati; Pseudomonadota; Gammaproteobacteria; Enterobacterales; Erwiniaceae
Description: bacterial SSU rRNA
Rfam family: Bacterial small subunit ribosomal RNA
Source: RNAcentral